UUCCAUUUCCUCCGUCGCAGCACGGGAAAGGUAAAGGGCAGAUGCUUUAACCAAUCACAUUAAGAUGGUCUGCAGCCAAUCGCAAAGGAAAGUCAAGAAGCCAAACUUUAGGGAGAGCCAAAGCCAGACUCUUCUCAAGUUCAUUCAACAUACCCACACACCUUUCUGUGAGGUGGACAAAGAGGGCCAUCGCUAUUUUAUAGGUGAGGAGCUGAAACCAGAGAGAUAAAGGAAUUGUUCAUCGACGUCCAGCUUUCUUGGGACUAGGGCUGUGUCCAGGCAAAUGUUCUUUCCUCUGAUUCAACCCAGUUAAAUUUACUGUGCUCUCAGAGCACCGUUGUGAGGUUCACCGCUGUACUAUAUAAAGGAAGAUGUUAUUUGAACUCCUCUGCCCCAUAACUGAUAAGGACAUGUGCCAACUCCACUUGUAGCUAGAAGAAAACGAAGGAAAGAAAUAAACAUUGACCAUGUA
Eptesicus fuscus (big brown bat) is the source of this 472-nucleotide long non-coding RNA. RefSeq lists it as uncharacterized. The transcript has 2 exons. The record is from RefSeq and is a predicted model, not a curated record. NCBI's taxonomy places the organism in Eukaryota, Metazoa, Chordata, Mammalia, Chiroptera, Vespertilionidae.